Molecule: ribosomal RNA, 233 nt
Filed under: uncultured bacterium
Lineage: Bacteria
Description: partial 16S ribosomal RNA
Rfam family: Bacterial small subunit ribosomal RNA
Source: RNAcentral
GAUCCUGGCUCAGGAUGAACGCUAGCGGCAGGCUUAACACAUGCAAGUCGAGGGGCAGCGCGGGGUAGCAAUACUCUGGCGGCGACCGGCGGAAGGGUGCGUAACACGUGAGCGACUUGCCCGAUACAGGGAGAUAACCGGUGGAAACGCCGACUAAUAUCCCAUACGACAUGAGGCUGCAUGGCCUUGGGUUGAAAGGUUCGCCGGUAUCGGAUAGGCUCGCGGGACAUUAG